This 253-nucleotide ribosomal RNA is filed under the name uncultured bacterium. RNAcentral describes it as "partial 16S ribosomal RNA". It matches the Rfam family "Bacterial small subunit ribosomal RNA", at positions 524 to 776 of the family's 1533-position model. The record is from RNAcentral.
UACGGAGGGGGCAAGCGUUAUUCGGAAUUAUUGGGCGUAAAGGGCGCGUAGGCGGCUAGAUGUGUCAAAGGUGAAAUCCCUCGGCUCAACUGAGGAACUGCCUUUGAAACUGUCUGGCUUGAGGCCGGGAGAGGGUAGCGGAAUUCCCAGUGUAGCGGUGAAAUUCGUAGAUAUCGGGAGGAACACCGGCGGCGAAGGCGGCGACCUGGUUGGAUACUGACGCUGAGGCGCGAAAGCGUGGGGAGCAAACAGG